GACGAACGCUGGCGGCGUGCUUAACACAUGCAAGUCGAACGGAAAGGCCCUGCUUUUGUGGGGUGCUCGAGUGGCGAACGGGUGAGUAACACGUGAGUAACCUGCCCUUGACUUUGGGAUAACUUCAGGAAACUGGGGCUAAUACCGGAUAGGAGCUCCUGCUGCAUGGUGGGGGUUGGAAAGUUUCGGCGGUUGGGGAUGGACUCGCGGCUUAUCAGCUUGUUGGUGGGGUAGUGGCUUACCAAGGCUUUGACGGGUAGCCGGCCUGAGAGGGUGACCGGCCACAUUGGGACUGAGAUACGGCCCAGACUCCUACGGGAGGCAGCAGUGGGGAAUAUUGCACAAUGGGCGGAAGCCUGAUGCAGCAAUGCCGCGUGCGGGAUGACGGCCUUCGGGUUGUAAACCGCUUUCGCCUGUGACGAGGCGUGAGUGACGGUAAUGGGUAAAGAAGCACCGGCUAACUACGUG
Molecule: ribosomal RNA, 468 nt
Filed under: uncultured bacterium
Lineage: Bacteria
Description: partial 16S ribosomal RNA
Rfam family: Bacterial small subunit ribosomal RNA
Source: RNAcentral